CCUACGGGAGGCAGCAGUAAGGAAUAUUGGGCAAUGGAGGCAACUCUGACCCAGCCAUCCCGCGUGAAGGAUUAAGGCCCUAUGGGUUGUAAACUUCUUUUGUUNGGGAAGAAAUCUGGACAUUUAUGUGCAGUUGACGGUACCUUACGAAUAAGCACCGGCUAACUCCGUGCCAGC
Molecule: ribosomal RNA, 177 nt
Filed under: uncultured bacterium
Lineage: Bacteria
Description: partial 16S ribosomal RNA
Rfam family: Bacterial small subunit ribosomal RNA
Source: RNAcentral